This 302-nucleotide ribosomal RNA is filed under the name Streptococcus equinus. Its description in RNAcentral is "bacterial SSU rRNA". It matches the Rfam family "Bacterial small subunit ribosomal RNA", at positions 37 to 329 of the family's 1533-position model. The record is from RNAcentral. Lineage: Bacteria; Bacillati; Bacillota; Bacilli; Lactobacillales; Streptococcaceae.
UGGCGGCGUGCCUAAUACAUGCAAGUAGAACGCUGAAGACUUUAGCUUGCUAAAGUUGGAAGAGUUGCGAACGGGUGAGUAACGCGUAGGUAACCUGCCUACUAGCGGGGGAUAACUAUUGGAAACGAUAGCUAAUACCGCAUAACAGCAUUUAACCCAUGUUAGAUGCUUGAAAGGAGCAAUUGCUUCACUAGUAGAUGGACCUGCGUUGUAUUAGCUAGUUGGUGAGGUAACGGCUCACCAAGGCGACGAUACAUAGCCGACCUGAGAGGGUGAUCGGCCACACUGGGACUGAGACACGG